UAAUGCUGGGAACCAUGAAAUGUUGUCUUCUGGACACACCAUGACUGUUACAUGCAUGAAAUUCCAGCAACCGUGGUUACCUAACACACAAGACCUGAACAAGAUCAAGCCAGUUAAAAAUCUAGCACAGCCCCACCGGCGGCAGAUAAGAAGCCAGCAAAACAGAAGGCAAACAAAACCUCAUCCAAAUUUAUGGGAAAAGCUCCUUACAGCUUUGAGAAGACUCAUUCUACCUGAGAUGUUUCUGGAAAACCAGAGCUGGGGUAUGCCAGUGAAGCCAUUAUUAACAAUUCAGGCUGGACACAUGGAAAUUCAGGAAGCUGCCAAGCAGGCAGGUGGAGACACAGCAGGC
This is a long non-coding RNA of Grammomys surdaster, 352 nucleotides long. RefSeq lists it as uncharacterized. The transcript is spliced from 3 exons. Lineage: Eukaryota; Metazoa; Chordata; Mammalia; Rodentia; Muridae. The record is from RefSeq and is a predicted model, not a curated record.